This 21697-nucleotide long non-coding RNA is filed under the name Gallus gallus (chicken). The record is from RNAcentral. Lineage: Eukaryota; Metazoa; Chordata; Aves; Galliformes; Phasianidae.
GGGGACCUCAGGGACUGAGAGGAAUGGAAACAAUUGAAGCUGGGAAAUCCAACAGAGUAACUUGACACACCAGUGAGUUAUGUCAAGAAGGAAUUGCUUCAAUAGAGCACUGGGUGCACGGGGGAUCUCUCCACUGAACAUGCACCCCAAGGGGAGCAGCAACUGCUUAUUUCAAGUUCUCACGGCCUCACAGGGUGGUGACGCACUGGAACAGGUUGCCCAGAGAGACUCUGGGUGCCCCAUUGCUGGAGGCGUUCAAGGCCAGGCUGGAUGUGGCUCUCAGCAGCCUGCUCUGCUGGUUUGCAGCCCUGCCCACAGCAGGGGGGUUGGAACUACAUGAUCUUUGAGGUCCUUUUCAACUCAGGCCGUUCUGUGAUUCUACGAUUAAGUGAACCAACUACCUAAUUCUCCUUUAAACGGCAAAAUCAGAAAAACAAAUGCCCUCUUUUCUAGAGCUUCUCUCCAGCAGUGCCUGCAUCUCACAUAGAAGAGAAACUGCUAACCUCCUCAUUGCUGAGGGCACGGGAUCAAGAGUAGCUGAGCCUGACCUGUAGUUCAUGGGAGCCAACAGGAACUCAGAAGCGAGCCUGCCACAAGUGUCCAGUCAUGAGGAGCUGAGCCGCUCCAGGAGUGGAUCAGAGCCACUCAGCCUUCCUGCGUGAUGGUAAAUAAAAUGAGCCAGCUCUAUACAAGGAUCACUGCCCCUGAGAACAACUGGCACAGCACAACUAUAGGGUAAGCUGAAUUUCCUCACUCUCUACACAGCAUGGUUGCAUCCAAAAUGCCUUCUUGGAGUCGUCCUUGUUGCAUCUUAAUUUCUAGCUGUAGUUGGAUAUGGUCCAGAAGCACCUGGAAGACUCUGAGUUCAUCCCAAAAAUGCUGCCAGACUUGGGCAGAGACAGCUGAAGAAUUACAGCCUUGUUCCUGGUUCUGCCCAUGCUCCUAUAUCUGGAGCAACUUUAUUCCUCUCUUCAGCUAAGAUCAUCCACCCUCCUUUCUGCAUGCUUCCAACUUACACAUGCAAGACAAAACAUUAGAUCCCUCCAAGGAGCAAUAGUCAUUCUGGUGCCCUGGAUGCUUGACACAUUGGAGAACAGGGUGCUAUCUCAGCAGCAGUUUUCUCCAUGGGCACUACUGUAUGAACCCCAUUAUGGAAAUGACAUCGCAGACCGACUUCUCAUUCUGCACUCCCAGGAAGCUUCAAGAUACCUGAAACAUAUCAGAAACCCAUAUGUUGGCAGCCCUGUCUACGCUUGGGAGCUGAUGUGGAUUCCAGGCCCAGAAACUCUCAUUCCACUAAAAGGAAGAUUAUACUAUUACACUGUAACAAAAUCUUGGGGAGUUCAAUUUCCAAAGAGCGUAUUUGCCUUUGUUGGGAGUCCCACGCAUAUCUACUGUGGUAAGAGCAGCACUGUAAUAUCUGCUACUCAAAAGAACAGCAGCUACAAAGAGAACUAGCCACCAACAUCAGCAUCUUCACUUUUAUCUUCAAACAACACAUGGUAUUAAUCUGGAGCCUCGCAUUCCUAAAAGUACUGGAAUCAUGAAGUGAUUUGCUUCCAGCAGGACCCUGAAACACAGAGUAACACAAGCGAAAACAGUCAGAAUGAACAAUCAGAGCAAAAUAUGCCUGCUGUCAAAUAGACUCUAAGCUUUUAGCUUUUCACCCGACAUCACCCAGCUGAUGAUUUGCGGGUCUCAUUCUACUUCCAGCCGCACCGCCUAAGUCGUGGAGGUGGGAGCAGUUACUGUGAGUCACUGAAACUUGGGGCAGCUUCAGAGAGCGACACGUGUUGGGACAGGGCAGGAUUAAUAAGGUCAGAAUCUCAUUCGCACGUCAGUUCUGCUCUGGCAUAAGUAUGUGAUGCACUGCAGCUUGGUCAUGUUUCAGUGGGGUUGCUUCAGAUCUGCUUUACUCUUUGUGAGAUCAGAAUCUGUGGCUGAUAUCGGAUGAAAAGUUAUGGUGACACCGAGGCAAUUUCUUUUGUAUUUCAUGUGAAGAAAGCUAAAAUAAAUAGCAUGAAAGGCCUCCCCUGUUAUUAGCUGGUGUGUUUGAAAGAAUCCUGCAGUUGUGUUUUAUCUUUUUUUUUUUUUUUUUUUUUUUAAAUCAGCAAGCCAGAACAUUUAAGAUAUAAUUAUUUGGAGAAAGGGGGAAGGGAAGUGUGCCUUUUGAAGAAAGUCCCACAAGCUUCCAAACACUUCAACAUUUCAUCGUGGCAAUCAGCCAGAUGCCAAACAAAAUGCUGCUUUCCACCAGGGAUCUGACAGGUGGCCUUUCCAAAGUUUACACAUUGAAGUGAGAGCUGAUGUUCUACUGCUUAUUUUUUUUGCCUUCUAAGUUAUUCCUUUAUUGAAGCCAGACUGAAGACAUCUUUCCAUGUAACAAAAGAUAAAAUCUAUCCCUGAAUAUUUUGGGAUUUCAAUGUGCCUUUCUUUUAUCCGUAUCUACUCAAGGAAUUAUUUUUUACACAUUCAGAUGAAGAAACAUUAGGCUGGCAAGAGAGAGAAAUGCAUGCACAGACAGAUGAAAGAUAAGCUAUUUGAAGCCUCACUGAUAACACAGGGCCAGAUACUACUUAGCUACAACCUGGGGCAGAAUCCCAUGUUUCCCUUGACGCAUUUCCUCCAUACCACCCUUCUGGCAGAGAAGAGGCCUGGCAUGUCAGCCUGAGAGCAUUUCCACCAGGUUCCAAGGUUCCUGGGAUUCUCCACCUGUCACCUGUUGCCCAAGGGCUGUCAGAUUUUUCUCCUCAGAAUUUUUAGAUGUUCCUGGAAACCCUCUAAAUCUACGCAUAGAAAAUAGCUGGAGAGACAAAGUGCAGGGCAAAAAUGAUGCAUCAUAGAUUUCAGCCAUACAUCUCAGUUUUCUUCAUGUGUGAAGUCCCUACAAAUACACAGAAAGAUCCAGGUUAAGAGAUGAGAGAAACUACAAAUCCCUCUGUAGAAACAACUGGUCUGCACUUCCCCCAAACAGAGAAGGGCUGGGUCCUCUUAGGAUACACUCUGUACUCUCUUUGCUUUCGGAAGUGCAGCACUCAAACAAAAAUCUGUACUGAUGAGCUUCCCACACAAGUCAGCAGAGCUACUCCUACGUCACAUGAACGCAAACCAAAAGGCAAUGAACCCUAUAAAUAAUGCAUACGUAAAGAGAGCAGCAAAUGCUGAUUUACAGAAUUUGAUCUCAUCUGAUGUGAGAUACAAUCAUGGAGUGAGUUGCUGGAGGUUAAUGGAGUUGCUCAAAACUGAUGACUCAGUUUACGAGACUCAAGUCUGACUCAGCUUAACCUAGUUCUGGGAUCAUAUUCUCAAAACUCAGAAGAGAAGACUUGGGGCUUCCCUUUGUGCUCAUUUAUAUCCCAUUUGGCUAUCAUGAAACCAAAAGAAAAGUGGGGUAUAUUAGAUAAUGUAGUACACAACCAAGAGGGAAACUCUGGCAGAGAAAAACCUAAGUUCUGACCAAAAAAAAAAAAAAAAAAAAAAAAAAAUCUUACUAUUGGCAAUCAUCAGUAAGGGAUCUAUGAGCUGGACUCAGUGAUACUUGUAUGUCCCUUCCAACCUGGGAGAUUCUAUGAUUCUGUAAUCUUUCCCACUGUUGUGUUUCUAUACUGCAGUCUUCACCAUAGCAUCUAAGCCAUUUCUGAGAGCUUCCCAAGGGACUUACAUCUGGUACAUACCAUCUGUGUGCCCAUCAUUCUCCUGGCAGUAGAUGAGCAGUGAUAUGCCUCUUUUGGAAGGGACUGCUUUAAAUUGCUGUUACAUAUAUUAAUGUGUGUUUGUACUGGAGAAGACAAGAUCAAACAAAUGGCUCUACACUUGAAGAAGGUAGACAAUCAGUGUGCAGGAACUCAGUUCCUGAGAGACUUUAUUCCACCAGCUGAAAACAGCACACAAGGCAUGUUUAUGGAGGAGCAUUCUCUUCUACUAAAUGGGCAAAGCUGUAACCCAUAGCAGUUCUCUUAUAUACAAACAAGUGCAUGUAUAUAAAUACAAUAGAAGUCUAGACAUCAAUUGGAGAUUUUUUAAGGAUUCCUAUGUUGGGCCAUUUUACCAUGAGAAAAUGCUGGAAAAGUGACCUUCCAGAUACAAAAUUAAAAGUAUGUGAGCAAAUAUGCCACCGAACACAGUUACUGUACAGUGCAAGUCUUUUAGACAGAGCUGAAUCACAAAAUCCUCUGAAUGUUCAAAAAUAAAACAAGAAAGUGAAAAUAUGAAACAUUAGUAUGGCACCAUCGUUGCUGAAUUGUUCACCCUUGGCCAUGAUCCUCCUAUUUUGACCAAUCUUUUCCAGGCCAUUCUUUGUUUUCCAAAAGUCAGACUACCACUCAAUUUGUCAGCAGUUCUACAUGUGACCGAGAGGGAAGUGCACUUCAGCAGUACUUAGUUAAAAUCUCAGCUUCCACCCAGUCAUGACAAUGGCAAAACAACCACCGAUUUCAGUCAUGCAAUUCAAGCAGACUGCAAAAUAAGCAUAAAAUAAGUUACAAUUGUUAGCAACGUUCCACAAUACUUAAAGCAGACAGAGAAAUGCUUGAACUCCUCUGUGAGUAGUAAAUAAGCCAAUAAGCUCUUGCCGUCUCUCCUCCCACCCCACAGCCAUAAGAAUAUUUGAAAAAGAAAAAAAAAGAGAGAGAGAGAGAGAGAGAGAAGGAAUAUAAUGAAAGCAAUGCAACAAAGCAGGCAAUUCCUUAGGAAUUAUCUCACAUUCAACAUCUCUUUGAAAUUAUCCAGCAACUAAACCACAAGCCCCCUGGUCCUUUUGGUCUUACAAAACAACAACAUAGUCUUCAGAUGCAGUAAUUAUAGGCAACAUGCACGAAGAAAAGCAAAUAAAGCAGUUUUAAUUGCCAGAGUCAAACACGUAAUUGUGUAUCUAUAAAGGUAAUUACAAACUAAAAGAUCAGUAAUGGUUCUUGUUUCUUCCGUUUUACCCUGAAGAAAAACAAUUAUCACUUAAGUAACCCUAAUCAUUUUAAUAUUUGUUCGGCAUAUCAGAAUCACAUCUAAAUCCCCUUCUUUUCUGAGGCAUCUGAAAUAUGUACUCAGAGCCAAACACUACGUUUUCUCAUUUCUAAUUCAGGAAAGUCUUGAUCCAAAACCCUCUGAUGGCAAUGGAAAGAACCCAUAGAACUCAUUACUGCUUAAUCAGAUUUUUUUUUUUUAAUUCUUCUUAUCUAUUUUUUAUCUCACUAGCCUCUCUCUCUGCAAGAGACAUUGAAAGUAUAAGGAUCAGGAAGGGACUCCAGAAAUGGGCAAAUAUGAAAUAUGUUGUUAUGUAUGAAGCUUCUCUACUGUUUAGUACUCACAGUAAAGCACCAGGCUGACGAUUUUGUCUACAGUUAUAAAACACCUGGAGUACGCCCUCAAUCCUUGAGUGAAAUCUCAGAGAAUGAUACCCAGUUAUUGCCUUUCAGCAUGGGUUGAUCCUGCAAGGGAUCUUUCUCUCCACUUGGAGGAAAACACAAGCACGUGCCAUAACACAUAAGUACUUGAAUAAAAUACCUCAUAGAAAACUAGCCUACUGCCAUCUACAGAGGUUGAUUAAGAACUUCAUUAAAGAAAUUAAAAGCACUGUUAAAUGUUUUAACCUCAGUUUGACACUCAGAGUACAUUCGGCCUUUGGAAACAUUUAUCAUACUUGCAACACUUUUCAAAAUCUACAAUAUUUGGUGUGGGAGAGAACGGAGAACAACAAAUGAAAUGAAAAAGACAGAUCUGGCUUGUUUCAGUAACUCUAGCUCUCAGGAACCAGAUCACAGUUGAAAAAUCAGAACUGGAAAUUACUAUUAUAACAUCAGUGAAUGUGAUCCUGAUGAAACAUUGAAAGGCGACUUUAUUUAAGGGGCAACAAGGGGGAGAUAAGAUCAAACCUCUCACUUUGUUCUAUAUGGACAAGCAGAUCUCAAUAACAAUAACAGCUCAUGCAGCCUCUCAAGCAUGAGCUGCUGAGCCAAUGAAGGAGGCAGCCAGGCUCACCUCCGAAGCCUAGUUUGGGCUCAAAUCAGCAUCCGCACUUAGAUCAGAGCCAACAGAAGUUAAGCCAGCAAGAAUAUUUUGGCACCAUUUCCUGGCGGCCACAGUGACCUCAUUUAUCUAUUAUGUAUUUUCUUUUUCAUGCUCUAUGUAUUCAGUCAGCUUUGCUGGCUGAUGUCCUGUUUUUUUGGCUUGUUCUACUAUGGCUUGGCUGUACCUUUGACUGUUUGGCAUGCCCAACUCUGGUAUCACUUGAUUUGUAAAGCUGCUGCAAUUUCUUAAUUGGACAAUUAUAGACUGGAAUCCAUUUAUGAAAGUUUGUUCUUAGCAUUCCACACUGCACAGAAACUAUUCAUUCACUCAUCAAGCUUGCUGAACACAGAGUAAUACAGGACUUUGCCAUGAAGUGGGAGGAGACUUGAGGGGUAAGACUGUGAUCAGUAAAUAUCACGAACUUCUCUUCAAAGUUCAAUCCAGUACAGCGCCCAUCUUUUCACAAGGGACUUCUGUUUUCCUCUCUUACACAAUUUUUAAGCUCUCUUUCUACCCACCUCUCACUCCAUAGUACCCAUUUAUCAUAGAAUCUUAAAAUCAAAUGAGUUAGAAGAGAUCCUUAAAGGUCACCUAGUCCAACUCCCCUGCAGCAAACAAGGACACCCACAGCUCAGUCAAGAGUGCCUUUGUGGUGUAUUUCCAUACCUUAGGUGCAGUCAACAGUUUUUCACCAGAGAGAAAGCUCUCAACAGAUCAAGCAAGGCAAAUAACAUUGAGUAACACCUACAUGUUACCCUUCCCCUAGCCAAGCAGAACUACAGCUGUAUCCUUAGCCCCAGUGGUUUCUGUUGCGCUGUUCAGAAGUCUACAAGAUACAGCAGUACUCAGAGUAUCCGGCAGGACAGCACGCAAUCACAGAAUUUCUCAAAGCUCUUCUACCUUAUACGCCUUCAUACUCCCCUUUCUCAAACCAGGUUUCCAGCUGUGUUUCCUCUCACCUCUUCUGUUGCUUCACGGCCCUUCAGCCACUCACAUCUAGUCCCCCUGGGCAAGUGCAGAGUGAUAGCAUGGAGAGCAAAGACACCUGUGGAGAUCUUCAAGCCCUGAAGUAUGCUGCAGCUGGCAAGGCUACAGCCUGACAGCACCUGCGGCUGCUUAUAACAACAGCUUCUUGUGUUCAGCAGCAAAAAUGAAGUGCAGUGGAGUGCAACAGGUCAAGUUGGGAGAAGAGCCCUCUUAUGCCUAAGAACCACAUAAACACAUUGCAGAAAUGCUUGGAAGAACCAGCACUGCGUACUGCUCUCUUGUCUGUGCUGUGGUGAAAUCCAUCUAAAAUGGGAAAGUGCAGGAGCAACAAAAGCAUUAAUGUCUCCCCAGUCUCUGCCCCCAGAGUGUUUGUUUCAAAGCUUUCUCAGGGCUUUUGUGCUAGAAAAUGUGAGCGCACACCACAGGCACACACCACAGACCAAGCUACUUCUCUUGGUAUUUUCUCCAUAUGGAUCAGGGGACUGAGCAGAAGCUACUUGAACUUGAUAUUGUUUCAGCCCUAAGCAAGCAGCUGACUCUUGCAAAAACCACAGGUGAUAGUGUGCGUGUGGUCUGCAGCAAGGCUUUGGAUUACUACUGCUUAGUCACUGAGGCGGAGAUGGUUUCUGCAGCAGCAAGCAAGCAGCAUAGAAGGAUGCUGCAGGAGUAGGCUCUGUUCCAGAAAAAUGACUGAAUGACUUUGAAAAGAACUCAGAUGUGGUUCACAGGCAGAAUAAAACACUACGAGAAAAGUCUUGGCCAACAGCAUGGAUGCUCUCGGGAGAGCUUCUGGCUUGGCUGAUCACACAUAAAAUGCUCUUCUUCCUCAUGCAUAAGACCUACCUUAGAAUGACCACACUUCCUUUCUUCCGCUGGGGAUGGAGUUUAUCCUUGACCACCCUGGAGAAACAGCAAGCAAAUUGUAUCAGAAAUUCCAUGUCUCUGCUCCCAUAGAAGUAUGGCUUCGUUUCAUGUAAGACUCAGCAGGAAAAGCCAGCCUGUAGCUCACGGUGGGCAAGUGUUUUUAUUACUGGGGCUAGUUGCUGUUUAGUAUAUGGAUACAAUUGCUUGACCACGUCCCUUUCUUUUGUGAGAGUUUGAUGGUUGCUUAGCACUUAUGAAUACACCAGGAGGGGCUUAACAUGUGCAGGCUUUAUCAGAAACUAGCUGUUCUUCCUUCCAUUCCUUGCUUGUGGCGACAGUAUGGAAGGUUAUGGGCCACAUCACUUCUCACAGAUCACGCUGACUUAGAUCUUCAUUUUCUUAUAGGCAUUUCCUUUCAGCUCUGAUCUUACUCAGAUCCUCUUGAAGCAGAUUCCACAGGAUCAGUGGCAAAAUAAGAAAUGUGAGCUUAAGGGCACAUUAAUACUUACGACAAAGUGGUGGUCAGCAGCCUAACUAGCCUAGUUCUCAUAAGCAAACACAUAGGAGGAGGCAGUGUGUUGCUGUUAAUUUUAUUCUUCUUCCACUCUGCAUCUCAGUAGGCAUUUGAAAGUGACAAUAAGAUUUCAAGGUGUAAGAUGAUGUAGAAAUGGCAUUUCAUUCCUGUUUCCUCUGUUAAUAUGUUAUUUCUUAAAAAGUUGUGAUCACAACAGAAUUAUGGAGAGGAUCUGGGGGCCUAGGGGUUUAAUUUUGAAUUUACAGCUUUUAAUUCUAGGAGCAUUUUUGUUUUUAAUUGGCUUCUCCAUGCUGCCAGCAGCCUUCUUGCCCACUGUGCAGAUCAAAGCCCUUAGCUGUAUUGUAAUCAGAAUGAGAAUAACAAAUCUGUUUGAUACCAUCCAAGUGUCACCUCGCACUGCACGAAAGCGUUGAAAGAUGAUUGCUUAAGGAUGAAAUAACUGACUGAGAAUGGUUACAUUACUCUCUGGCCACAGGUUGCAUUUGUUGCUUUGCAUGCAAAAAUUCUACCGAGAAAAAAAAGAGUUACUGGGCCAACUGUGAGCCAAUCAUAAGCUGUCAACUGGAAAAACAUAUUGGUUUAUCUUCAAGACCCCCAGCACUUCUCUGAUGAUUGCUGAGCUUGAAGAAGCAGAGUAAUGGAAGGAGAAAGACUAUUCAAAUCAGUUCAGAUUUUCAAUAAAUCAUAUAAUACUUUUUUCAUACCUGACCCUAGCAAUUUAAGCACAGGGAAAGUGGCCUCAGAAAAACUGUGACUUUUGGUAUGGUUCCUUCACGCCACCUUCUUAAUUAUACUUGGUAAAAUAAAUCCAUUAAAAGAAGCUGGCAGAGAUCUGAGGGGAGGGGAGGCAAGAAAAAGCACAGCACUAUAAUUGAAAUUUAUGAUGAUGGAUUAUUAUUGUCAUAUGAACAAAUCCAGGAAAAAAAAAUUGGCUUCAGAAGUAAGGAGAGGAAACUGCCUAUCCCGUUACAAGGUAACAACAGCUAUUCAGAUUAAGUAGCACAGAUGUGCUUAACUGAUCAUGAGUUUAGCACAUAAGGGAACAGUGGAUGGAAGCUCUCUGAGGCUGACCUUGACCUCAGCACUUCUUGUAACAACUCAAGAUACUAAAAAAUAAAUCCAUUUACUGUCUCUUCCAACAUAUAAAAGAAGCAAGCAUUGUUUAAUAAUACUGAGAAGAACACCAGCAGAAUUUCACAGCCCAGAGAACCAAGAUUAUUAGGAUAAAAUACUGUAAACUCUUGAAACAUCGGCAUUACAUUCCCAUGAACUCUACAAGACACUUUCCAGAGUGCUGGUUACUGGCAGAGCUAUAAUGAAAAAGAUGAAUACUGCUUACAGUUUGAAAAUCCUUUGAACUCAAGAAUUUUAUGAAAAGGGGAUGGGGAAGGGAAAAAAAAAAUGACGUGGAAUUCCCACAGAACAUAAGUUCAUUCUAGGGAAGAGCAUACUCUGCCUGAAUGUCCCCUGUGAUUGUUCACAGAUACCCGGCCCACUGGCAAAAUGAGCAAUGUUGACAGUGGUGGUUAAUCAGCUGAUUCAUAGACACUCAAGUGAUCAAAUAUGGGCCUAACUCAGCCAACUGGACAGCCUCCAAUAGUGGAAAUUGCAUCAGUGGAAAAAUCUAUAUGCUGCCUACAAGACAAAUUAUUAAAAGCAGAAGCAUUUUGACCAUAUCAAUCUAAUGAAGGUGGAUACCAGGGAAUAUGAGAAAUACUGCUUUACUAACAGUCAUUAUUUAGGUCUGCACAGCAUUCAUGUAUUUAUCAUUUAGACUGUUCACAUCAGCCUAACAUACACUGCACUACAACAGAGAGAUCUUAUCAGAGAUCCUUGUACUGCAGUGAUUUUGAGAUCAGCAGUUAAGUAUUUAGAGUGAAAAAAACCAACAGAAUUAAUCAGUUUCAGAAAAACUUCUCCAUAAAGCACAAGGCAUCAUCACAAGUUGUAUGAAUAUCAUUGAAAUGGAAAUGCUGGUGUGCUACUGAGUUCCACUCAUGUAGCUACUGGCCUUGUAACCAGUACUCUCCUCUGGAAAGUGUUCAUUUCCAAAACAAGCUUUAUGCAGCAGAAGAUGAAAGAUAAGAGCAUAUAGCCACCAGAGCUGUACAGCUUGCCUAGUGGAAAAGUUCUUCAUUUUUUUGUCACACACCAAGAGAAUGCAUGUUGUUAGCAGCGUUGCUGCAAAUGUAGUGUUUUCAUUAUAGGUCUGCCACUGUCAACAUAAGAGCUAUAUAGAUAAGCAGUUUAGUUAGUUCCCAGUUAGUCUGAAAAACCCAAAGCAAGGUAAAGUGCUGAAGCAUUUACUUGUUUUCAUACAUUUUGAAAAUGAAAUAUUUUUUUAUGCACACACAAGGGCACAAGUGGGAUAAACUGUAUCUGAUAAGUAUUAUUUGUAAGACCUCACAUCAAAAAUGGGAUAAAGUUAUUUGCCUUUGCUUAAAACAAAGAAUAAUUGAACUCUAAGAGCAUUCUACAACACAGACCUAAUCUUCUAGUGCAAAAAGAGAUUGUUCGGAAAACACAUCACCCAGUGUUGUAAUGGUAUUUAAGGUUCAGACCUUUGUGGAUUUGCCACCAGAGGCCUUCCCUACUUUCAGCAUGCGACUGGGCUAUCUGCUAGCUCUUUCCACGGCUCCCUUCAAGUCAUGACUGAGGAACAGAGGUUCAUUUAGUCUGGUUAACUUCAGCCCUGCCAUAUGUCAUUUCUGGAUCAGUGGCAGCCUCUAGUUAUUUCCCAGUGGCCUUGGUCCAAGGAAGGACUUUCCAGAGGCAGAAGCACAAAAGAGCAAAAGACUGAUGCUGGUGAUGAGCCAGCACCACUUGGCUUCCAAAUCAAGAUAAAACUGCAAUCGUACUUAUAUUUUUCCUGUGGGAAGGGUACUAUUUUUUUAUCUACCCCACGCAGAACUCUGAACAGAGUUUUACACACAUGCUUGUAUAUGCCACUGCCAUUGUGCUUUGUUCCAGGGCUAAGUGUUGGCAGAAUAAGUGCAGUUAUUAUAAAAUGUAUUAAUAUUUAUAAACACACUAUUGAGGAAAAUCAGUCUCUGUCAGAAGUGAACUGUCUAAACACAUUGUGGUGCUCUUUCACUCUGGGAAUAAUCUAGGCUGAGACAAACACUACUGAAUCCUGUUCUGGAAGAAUAAAUCCAAGCCCUCUAUGAAGUGAAAUUAUAAACGUUUGUUCCUAACAUUUUAUUUUUCUGUUUCCAAGCAGAAACUUCUGGGCAAGUUUAAUUGUGAAGGGAUUACUCAUUGGGUGAUAGCAGUAUGGAGCUGAAAACCAAACUAGAUUACCAAGAGAGUCUUCUAUUUACAUUUUGCUCUCCAAAUAAUAGACAAAAUGUGUAAAUAGCAAAUGCUUCAAUGUGUUGAAAUUUCAGUCAAAAUAAUUUUUGUGAAAAUCUCAGCAAAUAUUUUGGCCAUUUCUUAUAGCGAAGCAGUGAUUGGCACUGCAGCAGGGACGCAUGCAGAUCAGAUAACUGUACUGCCAGGAGUCCUUUGUGUUUAUCCUGCUGUAAUAAUUACAUGAGAUAUCACAUAUGCAUAUGCAUCAUUAGUAAAAAACAAAACAAAAAAAAACCACAAAACAAAACAAAAGACAAACCAACUGCAGUUGCACACAAUGGAUCUAUUGGUAGCACUAGUGGAGAAGUUCAAGUUCAUUCUAUUUUCAGACUCACUGUUAAAAUGACUCUUUUCAGAAUGUUUAAUCAGUGUACUGAGACAAUUCUUUUGUAAAAUGUUAUAAAAACUCGCAUGCCUAUAUUUUGCUGACAAGAGAGUUGAUUGAGUUUUUGUUGCUCAGCUCAAAAUGAGUACUUGACCUACUUAAAAGGCUUUUAAAUCUGUCUAGGUGCUUAUAUGACCCAUUUUUUGCCAACUUAAAACUUAUUAGCCAAGAUUUUAUAGCAAAUAUUCACCUGUACAUACCACUGUUUUCAUUAUUAGCACACACAAGUAUCUUGAAGUCGCCUAAUGCAGAACAUUAACUUUGUAGAUGUGUACACACCUGUGUACAUAUUUUAAGCAAACAACUUCCUUGAAUGCAAUAUUUUUUGAUAUCUUGAAAUGGACAAAAGAUGAAGAAAUGCUGAUCCAGCUAAAUAGUUUCCUUCAGCCCUUCUGGGUUUGCUUACUUGUGUCAUCUUGGAAGUCAGAAUGUACAUUAAGAGCGAGGAAAAAAAUCUCCUGCACGGAAUCACAAGUAUUUGUAUUCAAAUCCCAUCUCAAAAAGGAACUUCUUUUUUUUUUUUUUUUUUUUUUGUAAUCCUACAAUUAAGACCACUUGAUCCAAUGAGUCUAGAUUGCUGAAUUGACAAUAAAAGGUAUGAUGUUUACCUUGCACAUCCAGUAUGGCUGUUGUUUUACAGUAAAGCUCAUGUGACAGGAAAACAUUGGACUCACUGAAAGAUCUGGCCAUCAGGAAAGGAGUUUCAGCAACAUAUGAAUUAUUGUUGCUUUAUGCAUUGAGACUGAGCCAAAAUUCUUUCCACAGCCAUGAAUUGGACUAAUUUCCUCAGCCAGUGACUGUGGAAACCCUAUAGAAACAAAUCCCAAGCCAUAGUUUCAUUUGAAAGAGGAACACCACCUCUCUUUUCACCUCUUAACCCCACCUAACUACAGCGUCAUUUCAAGGGUUUCUGAGUUAAAAGCUCAGGCAAUGAUGAUUGCUCUACAGAUAGGCCUCAGGCCUCAUAGCCCAUUGGGGAGUGCCCAAGAGCUCCUUGGCCAGGGAACUCCUGCCCUCCACAUGAGGUGCCUGAGCUUUGCCCUGACAGUGGGAAGAGGGGCAGAGUCCCUCCAGCAGCAGGAGGAGGUUGGGACAGCCAGCCCUCCAGCUGUUUGUGGUCACUGGUGGAGGCAGGAAGGGUCAUGCACAGGUUUUGAGAAAACAGUGAAACUUGUGCAAUGCAGCACAGGUAAAAGAAGAGGCAUAAACCUACCUUGCUGCAAAGCACAGUGCAGCUGACUUUUCACCAGUCCGCAGUCCUUUUAAUCUAGAUAAGAGUGCUGCCCUAGCAUGACCUACAAGCCGAAGAAUUAGUUAAUUUUCCCCUCUGAUUAAUAGCUUGUGUAAAAUUAGUAGGAAGGAAAAAAGAGGUGCUAGUUAACCACCACAUCUUUCUUGGCGGGAGGAUGUAAACGCUGAAGGCAGAGAUAAUAUUACCUCCCUUGGGCAUCAGACGCUUGGUGGUUUGGAGCACAUGCCUUUGAUAAUCAACAUCAGUAUCUCUUUCAUGUCACUGAACAGAAAAUAGGGCCUCUUCAAAGAGACUAACUCAGAAAAGAAAUUGUUAAACAGGCCUGGCUGGGUUGAGCAAUGCUGGAAAUUAAGUACCCUGGAGGGGCAGGAUUAGAAGUGAGGUCAGCACCCUCACUCAGGGCAAGGGAAUACAUUAAUGGCCCUCUGUGCUGCCUCUGAAGUUGCGAUGGCUGUCACUGAAUAUUCCUGCAGACCUCUCUUUCUCUCCCUCCAUAUGCUGUCCUGAUGAUUAGCAUUCUGCCUUCUUGUCAUAAAAUACAUGAAUUAGUCAGUGGCCAGGAGAUUGCUGGCCUAAGCUUUUGAACUGAUACGGAGCUUCAAUUACACAGCCUCACUGAGAAUUUUUUUUUUUUAAUCCUGACUUUUUCAUAAUGUUAAUCCGCUGGUAGAUACUUAUUCUUUAUCUAAGACACCAAGGCGUUCAGCAAAUGCACAUGAAAGAGCAAGGCUUUGUUCCUUUGCCAUCCGGACUCUUGUUUAGUGUGUGCUUCAAAUAAGGGAAUUACAUUCUAAUGACUCACAGUUUUAUUUGUCUUAACCCUUCUGGAGACAAAUGAUUUGCUGUGCAUGUUGAUGCAAUGAUGACAUCAUUUCUCUCUUGGACGAUAACUAACACAGAAUCCACCUUUCAGCAAAAAUACCUUUAGAAAAGCACAUCUGGCUUUAGUCUGGGAAUUUCAAAGGUUCUUCAUAAAACUGAGCUCUCGGUAGCAAUGAGCUUUGGACACCUUGCACUGCCCUACCCUUCUGGAUUGGCAAAGCUCCAUGAGAAGUGCUGCAGAGAGUGAGGAGAAGAAGAUGUGCUUGAAAGUGUGUCUCUAUAGUGUAGCUGAGCCAGCACCUUCUGGACAGCAUGGAGGCAGAGAGCCUGGAGAGCUGCACACUGGGACACAGCCUGUGCUAGGCCAGCCUGGACAGGGAGCGAUGCUGUAACCUGCAUGCUGCUCACAGGUCCAGUGUAGAAAUUCAAACAUACCACCUAAUGAAAGCAAAAGGAAACAAGAUGUUUAAUUUAGGUGACUUAAGGCACAGGCUUUCCAGCCUAUAUUUCUUGAGACCAGAUUCUUUGCCUAAAACCAUUUUUGUGUAUGGUUCUUGUUAAAAAGGGUUUCAUUUCUGUCCAGUAUAAACAUGUAUAAACCAAUUAAAUACUGCCUACACAAGCCAAGAAACUUAGUCAAGCACUUUGCUAGCAAGCUCAGAACAUAAGCCCACAUGCAGCUGGUGGAGUUUGGAUUCGGGUGAAGACAGCACCUGAGAACUUGUCACUGCCUACAUAAGUCUGGACAUACACUUCUUGCACCCAGUGCCAGCAAUUUGCUCACUUGUUGAGGUGAUAAUGAAAAAUUGAAACACUUGAGAGCAAAUCUUCCUCCAUCCACAGCUUACUGAUAGCUUAAAUUGCUAUGCACAUUCUGUCUACACAAAUACAUCAUUUCAUUUCCAUUUAUUUGCAGGAGCAGCUUCUUGCAUUUUUUAAUCUUAGACAGCUUCACAAAGACUUCAACAUCCAGGCCUCAAACCUUGGUAUAAAGAGGACCUUAAGGACAGAAGCUGACGUUUCCAAAUAACAGCAAGCUGAGAUCCCAAGAGGCUUACAAAUUCCGUUCUGUUUCUGGUCAAGAAAGAGCAGAGCCUGGUAAGCAGGGUCCUCCUGUGGCUGCAUGAAAAUGCCAUACACGCAAAUGACUCAAACAUGUUUCCUGUGUGCCCAGCCAAUGGGAAUGCCAAGGAAAACAGGAGAGAUUAAAACUUUAUCUCCAACAGCAGACUGCCUUCCCAUAGCUUCUGCUGCAGUGUUGGGAAUUAAAUAACACUGAGGAGGAAUCUAGUGAGUGAACCAGUGCACACCAAAUAUGUCCAGGCUUGGUCCUAAACCAGUUUCACCCAGACUGUGCAAGGAGUCUACCCAGUACCCAAGAACAGCAGCAAUCUCCACAGAAGGCUUAGGGAAUCAGGGAACAAGACAACUUCUAUGGUAGUACUUUGUUGUCCCAGUCCAAAAUUCGGCACAAAGCAGAUGAUCCCUACAGGUCCAUUCCAAUCCCUACGAUUCUUUAAUAUGUGCUUCCUUUCACAGAAAUAACAUGUUUCUGGAAAGGUCUUCUCUCCAAAAGAUCACCGAAUCAUAGACUCAUAGAAUGGUUUGAGUCAGAAGGGACCUUUAAGAUCAUCUAAUUCCAACCCCCUGCUAUAGGCAGGGACACCUCCCUCUAGACCAGGUUGCUCAAAGCCCCAUCCAGCCUGGCCGUCAAUGCCUCAAGGGUGGAAGCACCCACAACCUCUCUGGGCAACCUGUUCCUGUGCCUCACCACCCUCAAAGUAAUGAAUUUCUUCCUUGUAUCUAGUCUAUAACUACCCUCUUCCAGUUUAAUUUUACAAUUAAAUCUCACGGUAUCUUUUUCAGGAAUAUAUCAGUCAGCAAGGGUUUUUAUUGUUGUUUUUGUUAUUAUUAUUAUUAGUUUUAAUGUGGGUUUUAUUCUGUUUUUUCUUUUGGGAGGAGAAAACUAAGGGGUGAUGCAGUUAAGCAUCUGUCUGAGGCCAGAGUGGAAUCAUAAGCAGAUUGAUCCCAAAUUUCCAUGUGUGCCAUCCCACGCUCAUUAUUCCAUGAUAAAAUUCAGGAAGUCUCACAGCUAAAGCUUGGAUGCUAUUUUAAAUUGUAUAGUGUGGAUUAAGUUUAUUACCUAUGUUAAUUACCUAGUCCUGCUUCAAAUUCCACUCUCAGUUCAGUGGAAUCCAGUUCACCAGAAUCCAUAUAGGACUGUGAGGUCAACAGAGGUCUGUAGCUAUAGGAUGUCUCUUUUUUCCCCCCCCCUUUUUUUUUUCUUUUUUUUUUUUUUUGAAUAUUUCUCAUGUACCCCCAAUGCAGCCUCAAUGCAAGACUUUGUGCUUCAUUUAUGCUGUUUAAUAGUUGGUAUGGAUAUUGACUAAGUAACUACAAAUCAACGAAUUUCAUUAAAAACAAACUCUCACUAUUGUUUGCUUAGCUGAGAGACUUUCUGCUGUAAAUCCAGAAGAGCAACGAUGACAGCCUGCUCAACAAGCUGUCAUUCCGUUUUUUUCCUGCAAAGAGAAAACAUAGAAACAGCACUAUUUCCUGCCUUCUUUGAUCAGUGGUUAUAGCAAAAGACAUAGCUUUAACGUGACAAUUCAGAUGCAAUCAUAGAAUUAUUAAGGUUGGAAAACACCUCUAAGAUCAUCAAGUCCAAAUCUCAAGCCAUCCCCACCAUGCUCACUAACCAUGUCCCUCAGUGCCACAUCUACAUAUUUCUUGAAGACCUCCAGGAAUGGUGACUCCACCACCUCACUGAACAGCCUGUUCCAAUCCAUUACUACCGUUUCUGAGAAGAAUUUUUUUUAAUAUCCGACCUGCUAUAUGCUUGGGAAAGUAGCAUUGUUGCAGCAGUACUGAAGUGAACAAUGCAAUUAAGAGAGGACUUGACUGUAGAAAGUAAACUUGACUAAACCCAAGAUAGGCAGACUUACCAACAAAUAUUUAGAUACUACCAGUAUUACAUGUAAGGACAGGUCAAGAGUUUUUUAAGUUUUGGUUUUAAAGAUGUGAAUUCAUAGAACUCCAAGCUACCUUUCCCUUCAUGGAGCACUUGUUACUACAAAAAAAAUGCCUGCUUUGUUAAAAGCUCCCUGUUGACAACGACAAGUCUGAAUAAACAGUCAGCUGGCACAUUAGUUUCUAUUAGCUCAAGUUUACAUGCCUUGUCAUGCUCUUCCAGCUUUCAUUUGUCACUAAGCUACGCAAAAGCUCAGCAAACACUAUUUCCCUUCAAACUUUCCCCAGGUUUCUUUUGUAGAAGAGGAAAAAAGGAAAGAAAAAAAAAAUGGGGGGGGAGGGGGUACAAUGGUGGGAGAGGACAGAAUCAUCAGUUCUUCUGCAGGGCACUCCAGCUCUGCAUGGAAGAUCCAGCUGAAGUCUUUCAUCUUGAGAUCAAGAGACCAGUGUUGAGCAGCAGCAGUCUGGAGCCAGAGCCCCGGAGCGAAAAGCAGCCAGAUGGGGGGCUGUUUCAGUAGCACAGAGUAGUUGGCCACAGAGUCUCUGUGCUACUGAUGGAUCUGCAGGCCAAGGAGUUGUCAGAAGUCAUUUGUUUUCAUUUUUUGCUGACCUUAACGAUAUAUAGAACUUUCUUUGCUUAUGCUGGGAUACUGGGUGCUUGCACAUGCUCUGCACAGGGCCAGGGCAGCUGAAAGACUGGGCAUGUGGGGCAACUACAGUGUGCACAGACAGCAUGAACAUACAAACACAAAUGCAGGAAGAACAAGUAUUUAAGAAUUUUGGCAUAAAACCCACAUGAAGAAAAGCCAGUCUACUCAGCAGCAUAUUCAUAAAUGAGCUCCAGAGACCAACCCUCACACAAAACAAACCUUGCGCUGUGGCUGCAUGCUCAGCACCUGGAGAGCAAUGAUAGGACACUGUGCUAUAACCUCCCAGCACAAACACUGCCCUGGGCUCAGUCUGGUUCUAGUUUUGUGAUGUGCAAGGAGUCAAAGUGACCUCGGCUUCAUUGAAACUCCCCGCUCGCUAUUAAAAAGCCAGCAGGGCUUGACAGGAAUAGCAGAAACCAGAUGGGAAAGCACCAGGACUGGGGACAGUGGGGCUGCAGAUCCAAAGGUCAGUGCUACUCCGCAGGGAGUGCCUGAGCUGCAUGCUGUGAUUCCAGCCCUGGGGCAGCGUCUGCUGCAAGGGGCUUCUGCCCAGCAAGAGCACCUGGAAGUCAGGCUGAGCUGGUUUGUUUUUAUGAGGAGGGGAUAGGGGUUACACAGCAGAGCAGAGAGGGAAAAGCAGAUGGUGAGCUGUUUUCAUGGCCCUGUCUGCUCAAUAGCGGCUCUUUAAGAGGGCAGCCAGCUUCCUGCAAUGCUUGGUGCCUGCCUUACCGGCCUGCUCAUGAGGAGUGCAGUGGACAGAAAUGCAGUGCUGCCACUGGCAUCAAAGCAUACAACCAAAGCCUGAUGAAACGGCUGGCUCCCUGCAAAGAGUGAGAACCAUGCAUCCUAGCCCUCAGGGGCAUACUGCCCCAACAGGGAAUGCUAGGAAAUCCCAAGAUAAAUCUGUGAAAGUAGCCUUCAAGCAGGAUAUGGUGCCGCGGCCUCUGUUCAUCCUUAGAUGUUAUUGCCUCUGAGCAGGAUGAGUAUCAACACAGGGGGUGGUGGACCUUUGUCAUGCAGCAGGAAUGUUAACAUCCUCCAGAUUUAAACGGCGCCAUCUGAAGAGCAGUUCAUGUGCUGAAAUUAAUUUUUCAUGUGUACAUCAUGAGGUCCUAAUAAAAUUGUUAAAAAAAUAAAAAUGAAAUUGCCUUUGUUGUCCUCCUAAUAGGACUCCGUUGGCAUUUCUCAUUGCUGUUGUCUGUAGACAACAAGGUUGUUUUUAAAGUUAUGGUAUCAGCCUCGCAAAAUGAAAGGGAUUAAAAAGACAAAAACAAAAUGUCAAAACAACAGAACAGAAAGAGGAUUUUUGUCCAUAAGGGGGAAAAAAUAAAAAGGAAGGAAGAAGAAAUAGGAACGCGCCAAGAAGCAAUAUAAAAAGAAGCAGGGACUUUUGAUGUUUUCUUUUCCCUCCUCCUUCAUUCUUGGCUGAAUUAUAGGGCGUAGCAUAGCAUUUUCAAAGCAUCUUUUACAAACUUUAUUUAGUACAGUGAUUCACAUUUCCUGAGCAAGGUUAACCGAAGGGAGGGAUAUUUCUCCCCUUGCCCCCGGCUAUUCCCCAACUUUCAGCUAAAUUGUAUCACAUUGUUAAAAAUAAUUGUCAGAAAGGAACAUUUCCUGAUCUCUUCCAAUUGCAUUGUUUUCCCCAACAAUGUGCAGGAUGGUUCAUUGCUAAUUUUAGCGAGCGUUUUUUUAUUGCUUUGCACAAUCUGAAGCCUCUUGCAUAACACAGAUGCACACAGUUAAGGCUGAGGACUUCAUGGUUCUGGUGUGCGAUGACCAUGUCUCCAUCCAAACACCUCCAGUUUGCAAAAGCAAGACGUUAUGUAGAUAGGACAGCUGACUUUCUCUUCUAGAUAAAGUAAAUCACUCCCCAGGAGAAACUAGAGCUGAGCUCAGAUGCAGGAGGCAUCAGAGCUUAUAGGGAGUUCCAUGCCUGCACAGACAUCACCUCAAUCUCUAUGCUCUAGCAACCCAAAGAGAUGAGCGCCAGCCAUGCCAGAGCUCCAGCAUAGCAGAAAAAAAUACAUUGGUGAUGGGGGCAACCCUAUACUCAGUUAGAGCAACAGAAAGUAGAGUGGAUGAGGCAGGGUGGUCAAAGCAGCUACUUGGGAUCAUCAGCAAUAAGAAAAGAGAAAAGGUCUGAAAAAUGCAGUAUCUUUUCAAAGAGCAUCUGACUACUGAAAAAAAAAAAAAAAAGAAAUCACUGUUGGAAAAUUUUACUCUGUCCUGUUUCCAUUUCACUGACUACAAGAGAAGCUCCAGUAGAAACAGCUGUAAGGUCAGAUUUGUUUGAAAGGAACAGAGAGGAGAGCCUCUGGUUUCUUUCCAAAAUGCCGUUUGUUUAAGAUUCACAAAGGGUCAGGAAGAACAAAUUGCAAUGGAUACUCUCCCUGUGUAGCCAAACAUAUUUCCAAGCAGAAACACGAUGUUAUGAAGAACAAACAAGUAAAUAUAAAGGAAGCUGAAGAAAACCCCAAUCCUAAAACCUGGCUGCAGAAUGGUAUCACUCUAACACAUGCUCAGGGAAUAAAACUACUUUUAAAGCAAUGCGGGGGGUGGAAAAAUGUUAGCUAUGACUUAGAUGAAUGCAGAGGGUCACUUAGGAGAUAGUUACUUAUCAGAAUGAGCAUCCUAGCUCUGACUCAAACUCUGCCAGCGUGGCUUAGUUUUGAUCAUCUGUUGCAAUCCCUUGUACAACACAGGAAAUUGUGUAUCAGCCAGAAAAGCCAUAGCUCUGCUAGAGAACGUUGAAGGCACACAGUAAUAUGUGCCAUCUGCUACCCAUAGGAUGUGAGGAGGUGUGUUUAGGUCCUUCAUCUCUACUCCGUAUGUUCCAAAAGCAGCAUGUUUAGCUGCUUGGAUGUUUUUAUUCCCACAUGGCUUCCCCUAAACACAUACAUGCAGCUCCAUUUCACCAAAUAAUGGAGAAAAAUGCAAAGGAUGACCUGGAGGACGCUAGUCUACAUGGAUAGUAAACCACAAAUAUCAUACUCCUUUCUGUGUGCACUACUAGAUAUUUACAACAUUCUACAUUUAAGAAAAGUUAAUAAGAGAUUUAAAGGGAAUGACCUUGUAAAGGGAAAACAUCUACUGGAUAGAUCUAUGUGAUCCUUUAUUGAUGUCCCAAGUCCUAAGCAAGACCAAAAGCUGUAUAUUCAGAGGACACUGUUCAUUUACCUGUAACUAAGCCUGACCUACAUUUUGACUUGGGUCAACAGAGGCUUUCAGAAGCCCUGCCUGGCUGGCCAGAUCCCUCUACUCCAGGCACUGGAAGAUUGAGACAGGCUGUCUGUCCUGUUCUCCCCCAGUACUGGGAGCCAUGGCUCCAGCGAUGGAUUUCUCCACCCUACUGCCGUACCAAUAAAGUGGCAACCAUCUUGCUGAACUUUCAGGUAAUGAAGCUGCACUUUUCUCUAACUGCUAUGAUCAGUUACAGUUUAUAUUAAUCAAAUAACACCAAUGUAAAGCGAUGGGCUGCCAGGGGACGGGAAAGCAUUUUACCCUCAGCUGUUCCUGCUAUGUUUGUGUGCACAGUUCAGCUUACCAUUAACAAGGGCAAAUCAUGAUCCAUAUCCAUCUCCAGUCUGAUGCUGGGUCUCUGAAGUAAUAAACUGAGAACUAAUGCCACUUAGGAGAUUUCUGCUGUACUUCAGUGACCACUGAAGAUAUUAUCAUCUUUACUCACUUCAGUUCCUAACAGUUUGAGAAAAAGUCAGGCCAGUUGCUGGGUAUAGGUGCAUGAUAAAUCUACUCAUGCCUUGGUUUUCUUCCACACUGCAAACCAUCGCUCAAAAGUACAGCCUGGGGUACAGCUCAAGCACCAUGCAACCUGCCAUGCAUCACAGGAUGCAUUUUUGCAUGCCAGGUCUCAGUGCAGG